This 273-nucleotide ribosomal RNA is filed under the name uncultured bacterium. Its description in RNAcentral is "partial 16S ribosomal RNA". It matches the Rfam family "Bacterial small subunit ribosomal RNA", at positions 524 to 796 of the family's 1533-position model. The record is from RNAcentral.
UACGGAGGGUGCGAGCGUUAAUCGGAAUUACUGGGCGUAAAGCGCGCGUAGGCGGCUAAGUAAGUCGGAUGUGAAAGCCCUGGGCUCAACCUGGGAAUUGCACUCGAUACUGCUUGGCUAGAGUAUGGUAGAGGGUAGUGGAAUUCCUGGUGUAGCGGUGAAAUGCGUAGAUAUCAGGAGGAACAUCAGUGGCGAAGGCGGCUACCUGGACCAAUACUGACGCUGAGGUGCGAAAGCGUGGGGAGCAAACAGGAUUAGAAACCCGAGUAGUCC